ACGAGAAGAUCCGCGCUGCCCGUACCACUGUUUCUGUCGUGUCUGUCCAUAGCCCAACAGUACAGGCUGUACAGCAGCAAGAAAAGACCGCAGCAAGACAAGGUCAAAAUCGUCAAAACUGAUGGCAACCCUCGUAAUUCUUUCUCAAAACAAGGGACAUUUUUUAACCUCAGUCCUAUAUAUAACCAAAAACAUCAAACACUCUCACAGCACAACAACGCAUAAGCAUCUUCUCAGAGCUUCUUAGUUCUCACCCUUCAUUCUUUUCUUCAGCAAAUCAGAGAAAAACACAGAAAUUUAAGGAAUGGCAGGUGCAAGAGCCAGUGGCAUGAUGAAUGGUGGAAGAAGCUUCCCAAGGAGGUUCUCUGGGCGUCCAAUUCCAAAGCGUGGACAAGUCAAAGUUGGAAUAGUUGUCGGGCUUGCAAACUCUGUUGUUUCCAUUUUCUCUCGCAGCAGAGCCACCCGAGGAUGUGCUACACCUACUCACCUCGCUCACUAGCUUCCAACUCAUUCGGGCUACAAAAAUUUUUGAUCUUUUUGUUCUUGUAAAAAUUGGGGUCUUUUUUAUUCCCUUCUAUGAUCUUGUUCAUAUGUAAAUCUCUUUCUUUUUUCCUAUCAAAGAAUCCAAUCGCCUCUUGUUUAACUACCUAGCUACUGAGUACAACUUUUUCUUUUUUUACUAUGAGUACAAUUUUAGUUGGAUCUACACCAAUGGAUGAAUUUAAAUUUCAAAAGGCAAGCCAAUGAUAUUUAAUUUAAAAAUAUUCCCAGUAAUAGAUUAAUGUAUUGAUUACUUCAUUUUAGAGCAUGUUUGGUAUUGCGUUCUCCAGCUCAAAAUUGCGUCAAGAUGAAAACAAUUAUAAGUAGCUUCGAUGUGUG
This 879-nucleotide long non-coding RNA is filed under the name Glycine max (soybean). RNAcentral describes it as "long non-coding RNA (GMAX_LNC001656)". The record is from RNAcentral. Lineage: Eukaryota; Viridiplantae; Streptophyta; Magnoliopsida; Fabales; Fabaceae.